GUGCUACCUGACCUGAAAAACCCAAGUGAAGUUGGGAGCAGAGAAAGAAGAAAGAGAAGCUCAAGAUGGUGAAGGUCGCAACCUACUUCGCUAUGACUUUGGGAGCUUUCGUUUUCUGGCAAACCAUGGAUAAAGUCCAUGUCUGGAUCGCUCUGCAUCAGGACGAGAAGCAAGAAAGAUUGGAAAGGGAAAUGGAAGUUAAGAGAUAUAGAGAAGAGCUACUUCAAGAGCAAGCAAGACAAAAGAAGGCUGAAGCAUGAGCUACCUUCGAUCAUCUUGUACGCUGUUUUCCCUUAUUUUCCUCUAAUUGCUCUUUUGUUGGGGUGUUUUUCAACAAUAUGAUUGUUCUGGAAUAAUUUUACUUGGCAUUCACUGAAGAGCUAAGAUGUUGACUCUGUAUAAGAUUUUCAACAAUUUAUAUUAUGCUAUUCAAUGUUCUAGUAAGUAGUAACACAUUGCAAUGUUGUUCACCUGAUGUUGAGGCAGUAACAAAUUGUGGAAUUGUUUCUAGCAUUAAUUUCAACCUAAAUUGUGGAAUAG
Fragaria vesca subsp. vesca is the source of this 540-nucleotide RNA transcript. RefSeq lists it as uncharacterized. NCBI's taxonomy places the organism in Eukaryota, Viridiplantae, Streptophyta, Magnoliopsida, Rosales, Rosaceae. The record is from RefSeq and is a predicted model, not a curated record. The transcript is spliced from 2 exons.